CUCGGUUUGCCUGACAUCAGCGAAUCGGUCAUGUUCAAAGGGGGCAUUCCCUGGUGUAAACCCCGCCCCCCCAGCGACCAUAAAAGGUAACGGUGGAAUGCAUUGCUUGGCAGUCCAUCUUCUUCAUAAGUGAGACACACACAGAGAGCCCAGGGUGUCCCUCACUGAUGAGCUUGAGCUUUCUGUGAGACUACUGAAGCAUUCGAAGGACGACGCUGGACCAACCUGCCCUUAGACUUUAAAACGCAGCUUCAUAGUCAGCCGUUUAAGGUGAACCUGCCGGUGGGGGUGACAAGCCUCAAGGAUCCUCGUCAGGCCCACAGGCUGCCAGCCGCCGCCUCAGGAUACGGACGCUGCCGUGUGUCUUCUGAUAAAGGACAAGGACAUCAGGAGCUGAGCAGGAGACACACCAGGUGUUGUCUUGAGAUGAUGGAGAUCAAAGAUGGAGAUCACAAGCCUGCACUUUGGAUGUCAGAGAGGAGCAUGAAGAAAGGUGAGCGUCACGUCUUUCCCGAGUCACAGUGGCGCAGUGGAAGGCGGAAUACACAAAAGCACCUGAAGCGAGGCGAGUCACACCAUGAAGCGGAAAGAACGUGAUGACAAACUGCUGCUGGAACCUCACCAACUAAUCUGAGAAGGAACAUUUCUGAGGGUUUUCAGUAGUAUCAGUACACUACAAUGGACAGACACACACACGCGCACGCAGACACACACACCCAGCAGGCGAAUAAUGAAGAAGGUAUGUGUGAGGUCGACUGAAGGCUA
This is a long non-coding RNA of Gasterosteus aculeatus aculeatus (three-spined stickleback), 765 nucleotides long. NCBI's taxonomy places the organism in Eukaryota, Metazoa, Chordata, Actinopteri, Perciformes, Gasterosteidae. The record is from Ensembl.